Molecule: transfer RNA, 82 nt
Filed under: Alphaproteobacteria bacterium
Lineage: Bacteria; Pseudomonadati; Pseudomonadota; Alphaproteobacteria
Also listed under: 2 other names
Description: tRNA-Leu
Rfam family: tRNA
About the family: Transfer RNA (tRNA) molecules are approximately 80 nucleotides in length. Their secondary structure includes four short double-helical elements and three loops (D, anti-codon, and T loops). Further hydrogen bonds mediate the characteristic L-shaped molecular structure. tRNAs have two regions of fundamental functional importance: the anti-codon, which is responsible for specific mRNA codon recognition, and the 3' end, to which the tRNAs corresponding amino acid is attached (by aminoacyl-tRNA synthetases). tRNAs cope with the degeneracy of the genetic code in two manners: having more than one tRNA (with a specific anti-codon) for a particular amino acid; and 'wobble' base-pairing, i.e. permitting non-standard base-pairing at the 3rd anti-codon position.
Source: RNAcentral
GCGGGUGUGGUGGAAUUGGUAGACACGCUGGUUUUAGGUACCAGUGCUGAAAAGCAUGGGGGUUCAAGUCCCUCCACCCGCA